GCCUGGGUGGCUCAGUGGUUGAGCAUCUGUCUUUGGCUCAGGUCCUGGUCCCGGGGUCCUGGGAUCGAGUCCCACAUCGGGCU
RNAcentral lists this transfer RNA (83 nucleotides) under Canis lupus familiaris (dog). It matches the Rfam family "tRNA". Rfam says of the family: Transfer RNA (tRNA) molecules are approximately 80 nucleotides in length. The record is from Rfam by way of RNAcentral. Lineage: Eukaryota; Metazoa; Chordata; Mammalia; Carnivora; Canidae. RNAcentral also lists the same sequence under 1 other name.